RNAcentral lists this ribosomal RNA (429 nucleotides) under Bacteroidota bacterium. RNAcentral describes it as "Bacteroidetes bacterium partial 16S ribosomal RNA". It matches the Rfam family "Bacterial small subunit ribosomal RNA", at positions 355 to 776 of the family's 1533-position model. Lineage: Bacteria; Pseudomonadati; Bacteroidota. The record is from RNAcentral.
UAGGGAAUCUUUGGCAAUGGGGGGAACCCCGACUGAGCAACGCCGCGUGAGUGAAGAAGGUUUUUGGAUUGUAAAGCUCUGUUGUUAAGGAAGAACGAGUGAGAGAAUGGAAAGAUCAUACUGUGACGGUACUUAACCAGAAAGGGACGGCUAACUACGUGCCAGCAGCCGCGGUAAUACGUAGGUCCCGAGCGUUGUCCGGAGUUAGUGGGCGUAAAGCGAGCGCAGGCGGUUAGAUAAGUCGGAAGAUAAAGGCCGUGGCUUAAGCCUUGUAGGCUUUGGAAACUGUUUGACUUGGGUGCAGAAGGGGAGGGUGGAAUUCCAUGUGUAGCGGUGAACUGCGUAGAUAUAUGGAGGAACACCGGUGGCGAGAGCGGCUCUCUGGUCUGUAACUGACGCUGAGGCUCGAAGGCGUGGGGAGCGAACAGG